This 332-nucleotide unclassified non-coding RNA is filed under the name soil metagenome. RNAcentral describes it as "partial contains 5.8S ribosomal RNA, internal transcribed spacer 2, and large subunit ribosomal RNA". The stretch from base 1 to 120 matches the Rfam family "5.8S ribosomal RNA", at positions 35 to 154 of the family's 154-position model. The record is from RNAcentral.
GAUGAAGAACGCAGCGAAAUGCGAUAAGUAAUGUGAAUUGCAGAAUUCAGUGAAUCAUCGAAUCUUUGAACGCACAUUGCGCCCGCCAGUAUUCUAGCGGGCAUGCCUGUUCGAGCGUCAUUUCAACCCUCAAGCACAGCUUGGUGUUGGGACUCGCGUUAAUUCGCGUUCCUCAAAUUGAUUGGCGGUCACGUCGAGCUUCCAUAGCGUAGUAGUAAAACCCUCGUUACUGGUAAUCGUCGCGGCCACGCCGUUAAACCCCAACUUCUGAAUGUUGACCUCGGAUCAGGUAGGAAUACCCGCUGAACUUAAGCAUAUCAAUAAGCGGAGAA